This 403-nucleotide ribosomal RNA is filed under the name Fusobacteriota bacterium. Its description in RNAcentral is "Fusobacteria bacterium partial 16S ribosomal RNA". It matches the Rfam family "Bacterial small subunit ribosomal RNA", at positions 355 to 776 of the family's 1533-position model. The record is from RNAcentral. Lineage: Bacteria; Fusobacteriati; Fusobacteriota.
UGGGGAAUAUUGCACAAUGGAGGGAACUCUGAUGCAGCGACGCCGCGUGAACGAAGAAGGCUUCCGAGUCGUAAAGUUCUUUUAUAUGGGAAGAUAAUGACGGUACCAUAAGAAAAAGCCCCGGCUAACUACGUGCCAGCAGCCGCGGUAAUACGUAGGGGGCUAGCGUUGUCCGGAAUCACUGGGCGUAAAGGGUUCGCAGGCGGAAAUGCAAGUCAGGUGUAAAAGGCAGUAGCUUAACUACUGUAAGCAUUUGAAACUGCAUAUCUUGAGAAGAGUAGAGGUAAGUGGAAUUUUUAGUGUAGCGCUGAAAUGCGUAGAUAUUAAAAAGAAUACCGGUGGCGAAGGCGACUUACUGGGCUCAUUCUGACGCUGAGGAACGAAAGCGUGGGUAGCAAACAGG